CCUACGGGAGGCAGCAGUGGGGGAUAUUGCACAAUGGGGGAAACCCUGAUGCAGCGACGCCGCGUGGAGGACGAAGUUUUUCGGUAUGUAAAGCCCUUUCAGCAGGGAAGAAGAAAUGACGGUACCUGAGUAAGCAGCACCGGCUAAAUACGUGCCAGCAGCCGCGGUAAUACGUAUGGCGCAAGCGUUAGGCGGAUUUACUGGGUGUAAAGGGAGCGCAGGCGGCACGGCAAGCCUGAUGUGAAAGCCCGCGGCCCAACCGCGGGACUGCGUUGGAAACUAGCGGGCUGGAGUGCCGGAGAGGUAGGCGGAAUUCCUAGUGUAGCGGUGAAAUGCUUAGAUAUUGCGCAGAACUCCGAUUGCGAAGGCAGCAUACCGGCGGCGAUCUGACGCUGAGGCACGAAAGCGUGGGUAUCGAACAGGAUUAGAUACCCUAGUAGUC
This 442-nucleotide ribosomal RNA is filed under the name uncultured bacterium. RNAcentral's name for it is "partial 16S ribosomal RNA". It matches the Rfam family "Bacterial small subunit ribosomal RNA", at positions 338 to 795 of the family's 1533-position model. The record is from RNAcentral.